This 220-nucleotide ribosomal RNA is filed under the name uncultured Streptococcaceae bacterium. Its description in RNAcentral is "partial 16S ribosomal RNA". It matches the Rfam family "Bacterial small subunit ribosomal RNA", at positions 505 to 725 of the family's 1533-position model. Lineage: Bacteria; Bacillati; Bacillota; Bacilli; Lactobacillales; Streptococcaceae. The record is from RNAcentral.
GUGCCAGCAGCCGCGGUAAUACGUAGGUCCCGAGCGUUGUCCGGAUUUAUUGGGCGUAAAGCGAGCGCAGGCGGUUUGAUAAGUCUGAAGUUAAAGGCUGUGGCUCAACCAUAGUUCGCUUUGGAAACUGUCAAACUUGAGUGCAGAAGGGGAGAGUGGAAUUCCAUGUGUAGCGGUGAAAUGCGUAGAUAUAUGGAGGAACACCGGUGGCGAAAGCGGC